Molecule: ribosomal RNA, 458 nt
Filed under: Streptococcus mitis
Lineage: Bacteria; Bacillati; Bacillota; Bacilli; Lactobacillales; Streptococcaceae
Description: bacterial SSU rRNA
Rfam family: Bacterial small subunit ribosomal RNA
Source: RNAcentral
GACGAACGCUGGCGGCGUGCCUAAUACAUGCAAGUAGAACGCUGAAGGAGGAGCUUGCUUCUCUGGAUGAGUUGCGAACGGGUGAGUAACGCGUAGGUAACCUGCCUGGUAGCGGGGGAUAACUAUUGGAAACGAUAGCUAAUACCGCAUAAGAGUAGAUGUUGCAUGACAUUUGCUUAAAAGGUGCAAUUGCAUCACUACCAGAUGGACCUGCGUUGUAUUAGCUAGUUGGUGAGGUAACGGCUCACCAAGGCGACGAUACAUAGCCGACCUGAGAGGGUGAUCGGCCACACUGGGACUGAGACACGGCCCAGACUCCUACGGGAGGCAGCAGUAGGGAAUCUUCGGCAAUGGACGGAAGUCUGACCGAGCAACGCCGCGUGAGUGAAGAAGGUUUUCGGAUCGUAAAGCUCUGUUGUAAGAGAAGAACGUGUGUGAGAGUGGAAAGUUCACACUGU